GGGGAUGUAGCUCAGUUGGUAGAAUGCUUGCCUGUUAAGCACAAGGCCCUGGGUUCAAACCCCAGCACAGCUCCCCAUCCCCA
Non-coding RNA from Sciurus carolinensis (gray squirrel), 83 nucleotides. The record is from the annotation of a RefSeq genome assembly. NCBI's taxonomy places the organism in Eukaryota, Metazoa, Chordata, Mammalia, Rodentia, Sciuridae.